Molecule: long non-coding RNA, 2205 nt
Organism: Gasterosteus aculeatus aculeatus (three-spined stickleback)
Lineage: Eukaryota; Metazoa; Chordata; Actinopteri; Perciformes; Gasterosteidae
Source: Ensembl
CACCUCCCACGACACUGCUGGAUCUGUGCCGCAAGGUAAGGAAAGGGCCACUUGGCUUCAGCACCGGGCCUCUCUGCAUCGGAAACUGGAGCGGCAUGACUUUUGUUAGAACUCCUCUUCUUCUUCUCCUCCUCCUCUCCCCCCUUUCUCUCCCUCUACCUCCCCCUCUCUCUCCCUCUCUCUCUCGCUCUCACUCUGCAGUCUGCCGCGAGGCUGUCCGUCUUUCACUGCGGAUACCGCGAGGGGAGGCCGAGGAAGACACCGAGAGGAGGAAGAGGAGAACCGGAUGGUCGUGAGGACGGGAAGUCACGUGCCAAAGAAAUAAGUCUGAUUUGCACAGUUUAUUCCUCACGGGCCGGGAGGGACAGAUGGGACUGGAGGUGGGACUACAGGGAAAGGAGAGUGAGCAGUCACGCCGCAUGACGACGCACUGCACGCCUGUAUAGAACAAACAGGCAAAGAAAUCCGUACCAGACCGGGAUGUGUGUAGCAAAUCACACGCUACAUGACAUGCAUCUGACGGGGAACAAGAGGAAUUUGUUACGCUCUAACACUUGAGAAAAGAUGGGAAGGAGAUGGAAGGAGGAGGAAAGAACACAAAUCUGAGAGAGGGAAUUGCCUAUUUUUUCAUCACAGAUUAUUUUAGGGGGUGAAUGCCAUUCCUGAGUUGACUAAAAACGAGCCAAACAAAAUAUGGAAUAUUCUGAAUUUACGAACUGCAUUGUGGUAGGAAAAAAAAAGCAGAAACAUGUGUGUCGCCCCCCCCCAUCACCCAGUCGCUGUUUGUUCCUUAAUGCAGCAGCUGGUAUUAGUCUCUCAAAAGGCCCGGCUGUGUCUGCCAUCCUACUUGCCUCACAUAUUCUUUUCUACGGCUUAUCAGUCGGAAAGCCAGGGGAGCUGUCCAGUCUCAUUCUCUCACUGGAGAGCACAUGUCAGGACCUAUUUGCCACUGGUUACUUUGAGAGUGACAUCAGCGAUGACCCCUUGACCCCGGCUGACGGAGAAAUGCUUCUGCAAUAGUUUUCCAUUACAGAGGCGAGAGAGCGCGGACACCAGACGGAUAUGUGAAAUGAGAAAAUAGGAAAACUGGAAAAGGCAUUUAGACCUGUAUUUGACCUAUCAUGUUUCGGCUUUCUGCGGCAGGCUUUUAUGAAAUGAGUAUUUGACCCAUUAACAAAUCCUUUGUCGUUUCUCUCGGAUGUUUUCCACGACCGCCAUGCGACGGCUAUUACAGAGGACAAAGCAGGGGUCAUCACAACGACACACAUAGCAGCGAUUCACUCGGCUUUCUCUUUUUUUUAGUGUCUUGAUGACGUGUAUCUGCUUGUCAGUCUGGCUAUGUGAGGAUCAGCCUCAGACGUAUCUGUAGAGUCUCGUAUUAAGGGACAAAUUGUUGCGACUGAGCUUUCGACAUGCCUCUCAACAGGUUGGAGACCAGCGUUUUUAUAUAGAUCUGAGCUGAGCUGAGUGGACGGCGAUGUUUGUUCAUCCAGGGGCACGCUGCUGCAGAUUGCCAUUGCAGCUUUUCAGUGCAACAAUGACUGUCGUCACACCAGCCGAAUCCCUUAUAGAUUUCAUUAUCUGAAAUAGAAGCAGUGAGGAUGAAAAGCACCUGUGAACAGAAUGUAACAGAAGCGUGAUAUCUCAGUAUUGAUCAUAUAUUAGCCUUUUUUAUUAUAAAUACAGCCAAAUAAUGUUGUUUUAAUAUUCGCUACAUUAAACUUGUCCUUCUAUUAAAACACCAGUUUGCCAUUUUUCUAAACGCAUUCAUCCGCUGUCUUCCAGAGAGUGAAAUGAUUACUAUCAGAUUAACAUCACUCUUGUGUCCGUACACAACAGCCCUAUUCUAAGUUUAGCAUUAUUAUUGGUUAAUGUUGAAAAAUCCGAUAUCGUGAAUCAAUGGUUCUGUUUUCUCUUUAUUUUUGGAUAAAAACGCUAUAGAAAAAUGACCUUACAGUUGUUUACUUGCUGGAAUGUACCUUUUAGGAACCUUUUAUUUUAGCUUAUUCCAUUUGUGGUGAAGACAUGUCACAUGUCACUAAUCAAUACGAAAUGUAUAAUCCCUGUAGGAGUUUGUGCUGCAUUUUCUUGUGUCAGAGUAACUGCCACCAAAGAGAACAACAUUCCCUCUGGUUGUGCUGACUAUGCAAAGCACAGAUUAUACGACACAUCAGCUCAACCAUCAGAUCCCUGGUUUUGACACAG